AAAUUGAAGAGUUUGAUCAUGGCUCAGAUUGAACGCUGGCGGCAGGCCUAACACAUGCAAGUCGAGCGGUAGCACAGAGAGCUUGCUCUCGGGUGACGAGCGGCGGACGGGUGAGUAAUGUCUGGGAAACUGCCUGAUGGAGGGGGAUAACUACUGGAAACGGUAGCUAAUACCGCAUAACGUCGCAAGACCAAAGUGGGGGACCUUCGGGCCUCAUGCCAUCAGAUGUGCCCAGAUGGGAUUAGCUAGUAGGUGGGGUAACGGCUCACCUAGGCGACGAUCCCUAGCUGGUCUGAGAGGAUGACCAGCCACACUGGAACUGAGACACGGUCCAGACUCCUACGGGAGGCAGCAGUGGGGAAUAUUGCACAAUGGGCGCAAGCCUGAUGCAGCCAUGCCGCGUGUGUGAAGAAGGCCUUCGGGUUGUAAAGCACUUUCAGCGGGGAGGAAGGCGAUAAGGUUAAUAACCUUGUCGAUUGACGUUACCCGCAGAAGAAGCACCGGCUAACUCCGUGCCAGCAGCCGCGGUAAUACGGAGGGUGCAAGCGUUAAUCGGAAUUACUGGGCGUAAAGCGCACGCAGGCGGUCUGUCAAGUCGGAUGUGAAAUCCCCGGGCUCAACCUGGGAACUGCAUUCGAAACUGGCAGGCUAGAGUCUUGUAGAGGGGGGUAGAAUUCCAGGUGUAGCGGUGAAAUGCGUAGAGAUCUGGAGGAAUACCGGUGGCGAAGGCGGCCCCCUGGACAAAGACUGACGCUCAGGUGCGAAAGCGUGGGGAGCAAACAGGAUUAGAUACCCUGGUAGUCCACGCCGUAAACGAUGUCGAUUUGGAGGUUGUGCCCUUGAGGCGUGGCUUCCGGAGCUAACGCGUUAAAUCGACCGCCUGGGGAGUACGGCCGCAAGGUUAAAACUCAAAUGAAUUGACGGGGGCCCGCACAAGCGGUGGAGCAUGUGGUUUAAUUCGAUGCAACGCGAAGAACCUUACCUGGUCUUGACAUCCACAGAACUUUCCAGAGAUGGAUUGGUGCCUUCGGGAACUGUGAGACAGGUGCUGCAUGGCUGUCGUCAGCUCGUGUUGUGAAAUGUUGGGUUAAGUCCCGCAACGAGCGCAACCCUUAUCCUUUGUUGCCAGCGGUCCGGCCGGGAACUCAAAGGAGACUGCCAGUGAUAAACUGGAGGAAGGUGGGGAUGACGUCAAGUCAUCAUGGCCCUUACGACCAGGGCUACACACGUGCUACAAUGGCAUAUACAAAGAGAAGCGACCUCGCGAGAGCAAGCGGACCUCAUAAAGUAUGUCGUAGUCCGGAUUGAGUCUGCAACUCGACUCCAUGAAGUCGGAAUCGCUAGUAAUCGUAGAUCAGAAUGCUACGGUGAAUACGUUCCCGGGCCUUGUACACACCGCCCGUCACACCAUGGGAGUGGGUUGCAAAAGAAGUAGGUAGCUUAACCUUCGGGAGGGCGCUUACCACUUUGUGAUUCAUGACUGGGGUGAAGUCGUAACAAGGUAACCGUAGGGGAACCUGCGGUUGGAUCACCUCCUUACCUUAAAGAA
This 1549-nucleotide ribosomal RNA is filed under the name Klebsiella pneumoniae. RNAcentral describes it as "bacterial SSU rRNA". It matches the Rfam family "Bacterial small subunit ribosomal RNA". Lineage: Bacteria; Pseudomonadati; Pseudomonadota; Gammaproteobacteria; Enterobacterales; Enterobacteriaceae. The record is from RNAcentral.